GACGAACGCUGGCGGCGUGCUUAACACAUGCAAGUCGAACGGAAAGGCCCUGCUUUUGUGGGGUGCUCGAGUGGCGCAAGGGUGAGUAUCACGUGAGUAAACUGUCCUUUAUUUUGGGAUAACUUCAGGAAAAUGGGGAUCUUACAGGACAUAACAUCCUGUUGCAUGGUGGGGGUUGGAAAGUUUCGCAGGUUGGGGAAGGCAUCGUGGAUUAUCAGCUUGUUGGUGGGGUAGUGUCUUACUAAGGCUUCGACGGGUAGCCGGCCUGAGAGGGUGACCGGCCACAUUGGGACUGGGGUACGACCCAGACUCCUACGUGAGGCAGCAGUGGGGAAUAGUGCACGAUGGGCGGAAGCCUGAUGCAGCAACGCCGCGUCCGGAAGGUCGGCCUUCGGGUUGUAAACCGCUUUCGCGUGGAACGAAGCGUGAGUGACGGUAGUGUAUAAAAAAGCACCGGCUAACUACGUG
RNAcentral lists this ribosomal RNA (468 nucleotides) under uncultured bacterium. Its description in RNAcentral is "partial 16S ribosomal RNA". It matches the Rfam family "Bacterial small subunit ribosomal RNA", at positions 28 to 507 of the family's 1533-position model. The record is from RNAcentral.